UCCCUGAUGGCUCAGAUGGUAAAGCGCCUGUCUGCAAUGCAGGAGACCUGGGUUCAGUCCCUGAGUUGGGAA
Bos taurus (domestic cattle) is the source of this 72-nucleotide non-coding RNA. The record is from Rfam. Lineage: Eukaryota; Metazoa; Chordata; Mammalia; Artiodactyla; Bovidae.